UAAAUAGUUGCAGGAGAGAGCAGUUUUUUCUGCCACCGAAGGCGCAAUUCACCCAGAAUCGCUCAGGUAAAUGCACGGCAAACUAUUU
Molecule: regulatory RNA element, 88 nt
Organism: Pelistega indica
Lineage: Bacteria; Pseudomonadati; Pseudomonadota; Betaproteobacteria; Burkholderiales; Alcaligenaceae
Rfam family: Glycine riboswitch aptamer
About the family: This family represents the bacterial glycine riboswitch. Glycine riboswitches usually consist of two metabolite-binding aptamers domains with similar structures in tandem.
Source: Rfam